ACGUCAUCGCCGUGCUUACUCAGUCUCCUAGCAACAGGAAACAUCUGCCUCCGCGACGACCAAUGAGGGCGCGGCAGGAGCGGAGUGUGUUGUGUCUUGUUGCCGUGAAGGGGGAUAUUUUAGGCGGCUGCAGAGCGGUGAGCGUGUCAACCCGGAGCUGGAUCUGUCUGCACCGCUGUCAGCAGGAGCCGAGCCAGGGAGUCGAGCCAGGGAGCCGCGCACUUCAGGCCGAGCUGGAGCGUCGCUGAGUCGGUGUGGGGACGGGAGGCCUCAGCUGGGACAGAAUCAUUUAAAGGGGUCCGAGGGCGAUGUGCAGGCUCAGGUCGACUUGGACGCACUGAUUCAAAGUCCAGUCAGAGAGCUGAGUGCUGGCUGUGCACCGUCAGCAGCAGCAGCCCCGUCCCUGUGAGAGAGACCAAACCAUUCAACGACGUCGAAAGUUGCUUACUUCAAGCGGAAAUAUGCGGAGGAGGAAGAUUUACAUGGAGGCCUCCAUGGAUAUUUUCAAAAACACUUGAUACUGCAGGAGGACCGGAGCUGCAUCCUGAAGCUGUCCCUGGAGAAGCUCAGGUUCCUGGAGGACCCCGAGGCCUACCUGCGGCGCUCCGUCCUCAUCAACAACCUGCUGAGGAAGAUCCACCAUGAGGAGGAGGAGCUGGAGGCUGAGGAGGAGGAGGAAGAAGAUGAUGAAGUAGAAGAAGAGGAGGAUGAAGAAGAAGAAGAGGAGGUUACUGGAGAGAGAGGGCAGCGGACGCUGAUGUACCCGAACAGGAAGAGGGUGAAGGUGCUGGUGACGGACUGCUGCUCUCCAGCGUUUGGCCUGGAAGAGCUUCAACAUUACCGACUGGUGCCCUCAGCCGGAUGCCUGUACAGCCUGGGCACCUGCCCAGGACUUGCCCCCAACCACCAGGUCCUUCUCUACAACCUGGAUGACAAUGGCUGACUCGGCAGACCUCACUGCCUCUUUUCACAAAGCUGGGAUAUACAAACAUGAACUGUUUGUUCACAAUCAACAUGAAGAAACCUGCUGUGGUUUCCCUUCAGUUUACCACUAACACCCCUUGAGGAACAUCUGUUGUGGGCUCUGUUUUGUGCGUCGGCAGGAUGGCGCCUCCUCUUGUCACCUUGCUAGGAGGUAAAGAGGGAUUUAAGAAGCUUAGAGACCCUGAUUCUUCAGCCUCAGGGUCCACGGGGUCUCUGAUGUUCGCAGGGUCACUGCCAUUUACUAUUUGUGCAAAUGUGACAGACUGAGCGGGCAGGAUGUUUUUAGCUGUUGCUGUUGUGUCAUUGAUUUCUAUUGUUAUUGUUGCUCAUGUGAACUGUGAGCACAUUCAGGGAUUUACAGCCUGCAGGUUUUGAUGCACAUUGGCUUGCGUGGAGAAUAUGUGCUGAUACGCUUCUGUUCUGUUUUUACGCUACUGUGUGAUUUAUGAGAUUUUCUGUAUGACAUUCCCUGGACUGUGUGAAUUGUCGUGCUAUCUCAAGAGCUCAUGAUUGUCAUUCUGUGUGAAAGGUGCUUUCACUGCCUUUCUCUAGGCUAUUUGAGGUCAUGUGUUCACUCUCUAUGCUGUUAGUUUCAUUUGACGUCACUUUGCUGCCCUCUGCUGGCAAAGGACUUAAUCUUCAAACCCUGGUUUGUAGCUGAUGUGUUCGUAUCUCACAGUGAAAGUGAGAGAGAGAUAUAACGGAGCCACUUUAAGGGGAAAAGACGGGGAUUACAGUAAAAUGCUGAUGAAAAGGUUCAUUCAUUAUCUGUGAUGAGAGGAUACACAUUUAUGCUUUAUAUUGCUUUAAAAAAAGACCAAGCCACAAUGUUCCUCUGCUACCAAAUAUCGUUUUUGUGAAUGAGUUUCAGCUUCUUUUUUCUUUAAAGCUGAAUAUUGGAGAGCAGAAUGUUUCUAAAGUUAUGACACGUAUUUUCCUACUAUGAGCCCUGAUUAAAACAGCACAGCGCACUGAGUUUUGAAAUUGUCAGAAAAUAUUUUAUUAUGUAAUGUGGCACAAUGUGUGCUUUAUAAAACAGACUAAUCUGCUGUAUGGCAACAAUAAUUAAUUCUCUUUUCAGUGUCACUCUAUGUGUUUUGAGUCUAUGUCUGAGAGUUUUACGAAGUUUGGAAAAUACGGAUCUUAUAACAAUCACGACAAUAAAAAAUAUGACAUUACUACAGUAAAUAAAAUUACAGAUUAUUUUAAAACAACAGCUUAAUAUUUUGAUGAAAUAUGUAAGGUGACAGAUGUGUGCUUUUAUGCAUCGUUGUGUAGCUACACAAGUAGUAGACGCAUUUUAACUAUUUGCACACUAUUUUAAU
This is a long non-coding RNA of Monopterus albus (swamp eel), 2309 nucleotides long. RefSeq lists it as uncharacterized. The transcript is spliced from 4 exons. Lineage: Eukaryota; Metazoa; Chordata; Actinopteri; Synbranchiformes; Synbranchidae. The record is from RefSeq and is a predicted model, not a curated record.